UGAAAGGUAAUUUAAAUAAAAAUUUCAAAUUGUGGUAUUGAAUAUAAUAUUAGGUAUUUCUUUCAA
Molecule: transfer RNA, 66 nt
Filed under: Macropophila clayae
Lineage: Eukaryota; Metazoa; Arthropoda; Insecta; Psocodea; Boopidae
Description: tRNA-His
Source: RNAcentral